GUAGGGAAUAUUGCGCAAUGGACGAAAGUCUGACGCAGCAACGCCGCGUGCGGGAUGAAGCUUCUUGGAGUGUAAACCGCUGUCAGGAGGGACGAACGAUUCCGGGUCUAACAUAGCCGGGAUUUGACGGUACCUUCAGAGGAAGCUCCGGCUAACUCCGUGCCAGCAGCCGCGGUAAUACGGGGGGAGCAAGCGUUGUUCGGAAUCACUGGGCGUAAAGGGUGCGCAGGCGGGAGGAUAGGUCGGAUGUGAAAACCCUGGGCUCAACCCAGGGCCUGCAUCUGAAACCAUCCUUCUUGAGUAUCGGAGAGGGAAGCGGAACUCCAGGUGUAGCGGUGAAAUGCGUAGAUAUCUGGGGGAACACCGGUGGCGAAGGCGGCUUCCUGGACGAAUACUGACGCUCAGGCACGAAGGCUAGGGGAGCAAACAGGAUUAGAUACCCGAGUAGUCC
Molecule: ribosomal RNA, 451 nt
Filed under: uncultured bacterium
Lineage: Bacteria
Description: bacterial SSU rRNA
Rfam family: Bacterial small subunit ribosomal RNA
Source: RNAcentral